RNAcentral lists this unclassified non-coding RNA (279 nucleotides) under plant metagenome. RNAcentral describes it as "partial contains small subunit ribosomal RNA, internal transcribed spacer 1, and 5.8S ribosomal RNA". The record is from RNAcentral.
UUUCCGUAGGUGAACCUGCGGAAGGAUCAUUACUGAAUAACCGAGCUGCGAGGCCUGACGCCCCACCCAAAGGUCGCGACCGCCGGAGUGUCCUCACACACUUCAAUGCUACCCCCCUGUGCACCACCGCGUGCGUCCCCCUUUGGCCUGUGCGGGGGGGGGCUUACGUCUCCACACCACCUUAGUUUGCAGUGCAGAAUGUAUAUUAUGUUUUAGAAAUUACACCAUCAAAACACCUUUCUCCAACGGAUCUCAUGGCUCUCGCAUCGAGGAAGAACG